RNAcentral lists this ribosomal RNA (253 nucleotides) under uncultured bacterium. Its description in RNAcentral is "partial 16S ribosomal RNA". It matches the Rfam family "Bacterial small subunit ribosomal RNA", at positions 524 to 776 of the family's 1533-position model. The record is from RNAcentral.
UACGGAGGGUGCGAGCGUUGUCCGGAAUUAUUGGGCGUAAAGCGCGCGCAGGCGGUCCUUUAAGUCUGAUGUGAAAGCCCACGGCUCAACCGUGGAGGGUCAUUGGAAACUGGGGGACUUGAGUGCAGAAGAGGAAAGUGGAAUUCCAAGUGUAGCGGUGAAAUGCGUAGAGAUUUGGAGGAACACCAGUGGCGAAGGCGACUUUCUGGUCUGUAACUGACGCUGAGGCGCGAAAGCGUGGGGAGCAAACAGG